This is a small nuclear RNA of Coregonus clupeaformis (lake whitefish), 158 nucleotides long. RefSeq annotates it as U1 spliceosomal RNA. The record is from RefSeq and is a predicted model, not a curated record. The transcript has a single exon. Lineage: Eukaryota; Metazoa; Chordata; Actinopteri; Salmoniformes; Salmonidae.
AUACAUACCUGGCAAGGGAGACAUCGUGAUUAAGAAGCCGGUUCACUCAGGGUGCGACUCAGCCAAUGCACCCCGGCUGUGCUGAUCCUUGUAAAUAAUGUGGAAAUAUCGAUUGCAGAACUUCUGGUAGUGGGGGACUGCGUUCGCGCUCUCCCCUG